GAAAAAUCCAUCCAACAAGCUCUUGCAAGCGAAGGGAUUCCACGCAUGGUUUAACUUGGUGAAGCUGGUGCAUAGCAGUGAGACUCCUCAAUAUUCAAGGGUGAAGCUGGUGCAUAGCAGUGAGACUCAAGAUUCAAGGAAGUUGAGAAAAGUGAGAAGAACCUCAUCUUGAUAGAAAAGCUCAUGCAGACGACUUUUACCCUUCGUUGCCAGGAGAUCGUUCAGGAAAAUCCCUUGGUCGGGGACUUUUUAGAGAAAUGGCUGGCCCUCCGGAUGGAAUCACAGGUUUGUGCCGAGUUUCACCGAAUCACAAACGUCAACCUACGGAACCAGUUAUUUUCUGAACUAGACGGACACACCCUGAGGCCCUGCGUGAAAUCCUAAGGAUUUGUGAUCUCCAGGAAGUACAGGAUGUCCACAUGAAACGCAAUGCAGCCCUUCGAGCCCUCCCAUUAUACCUGCGUGAGGAGGACCCACAGUUCUUCAAGUCUUGGAGCGCAGAGGAGGUGGACCGGCCAGACAUCACCAACACACCGGUUGCUAUUGUCAGCAUGGUCACCGAGGGCACUCCAAUUCAAGUUGAUCUCAGUCCGGCAAGUACUGCUAUUCUGGUGGAAGGUGAUUUCGUCAUCAGCAAUAUCCGCAGGAUGGCGGAUUCCUUUGCAUUGUUGUUUGGCUUGAUGUACGUGUUACAUUUGGACUACCCCAAGAAACUCAUCAACACUUUCACUUUCAUACAGAAAGUGCUGAUGGGCCUUGAUGAUGGUAAACCACUGAAGCCCUGCAUACUCAAUCUAAAAAAAUGACCUGUUACUAAAAAAGUAGGCCGUGUUACAGGUUGAAACUUUGCACAUGCCAAUGUUUGUUUUGCACAGUUAAAGGUGGGGUAGGUAAGUUUGAGAAACCGGCUCGAGAUACACUUGUUGUUAUAUUUCAUGGAAUGCUCUUAACAUCCCGAUAGCAAUGAAUAUCUGAAGUGCUUUGACAAAAAAUCCAUAAAGAAGUGUCAUCUGUGGAAGCCGUAGUACUGUAAAAAGCACGACCAAUCAUCUUAGCCGGCCCGGCUAAAAUAACUGGAUGGCCUACCUGCCUGUCAGCCUUCCAUCUGUGCACAAACUUAUCUCGUGCCCUCAUUGGUCAUGUGCGCGUUCGUGUGUGUUGGAGGAGGGGCUCUGGAAGGAAGUGGCAGAUUUUUUCCAGCUGUGUAUUUUCAAAUUCUAGCACACUCGAGCUGGUUUCUUCAAAAUUACCAACCCCAUCUUUAAUUCGUUGCUUAAAGCAGUUGAAUGAUGUUUACAUUGGGUAGAAUGUCUAAAUCUACCUCAGUUGUUCAUGUUUGCACUGAAAGUGCUGAUGGUCCUUGAUGGUGGUAAACCACUGAAACCCUGUGCCUACAGUUGUUCAUGUUUGCACUUUAACUGCUAUGGCACGCUGUUUUGAGUAUUUAUUUCAUAUCCUUGAUAUCAGACAGCAAUUACCUACACUAACUGGCUCUUUGAUUGCACUUGUUAGAUA
Gymnodraco acuticeps is the source of this 1515-nucleotide long non-coding RNA. RefSeq lists it as uncharacterized. The transcript has 7 exons. The record is from RefSeq and is a predicted model, not a curated record. NCBI's taxonomy places the organism in Eukaryota, Metazoa, Chordata, Actinopteri, Perciformes, Bathydraconidae.